UACGGAGGGUGCAAGCGUUAUCCGGAUUCACUGGGUUUAAAGGGUGCGUAGGUGUGCAGGUAAGUCAGUGGUGAAAUCUUCGGGCUUAACCCGGAAACUGCCGUUGAUACUAUCUGUCUUGAAUGUAGUGGAGGUGAGCGGGAUAUGUCAUGUAGCGGUGAAAUGCUUAGAUAUGACAUAGAACACCAAUUGCGAAGGCAGCUCGCUACACUAUUAUUGACACUGAGGCACGAAAG
Molecule: ribosomal RNA, 236 nt
Filed under: uncultured bacterium
Lineage: Bacteria
Description: partial 16S ribosomal RNA
Rfam family: Bacterial small subunit ribosomal RNA
Source: RNAcentral